ACGGCCUAUCAGCUUGUUGGUGGGGUAAUGGCCUACCAAGGCGACGACGGGUAGCCGGCCUGAGAGGGUGACCGGCCACACUGGGACUGAGACACGGCCCAGACUCCUACGGGAGGCAGCAGUGGGGAAUAUUGCACAAUGGGCGCAAGCCUGAUGCAGCGACGCCGCGUGAGGGAUGACGGCCUUCGGGUUGUAAACCUCUUUCAGCAGGGAAGAAGCCACAAGUGACGGUACCUGCAGAAGAAGCGCCGGCUAACUACGUGCCAGCAGCCGCGGUAAUACGUAGGGCGCAAGCGUUGUCCGGAAUUAUUGGGCGUAAAGAGCUCGUAGGCGGUUUGUCGCGUCUGCUGUGAAAGCCCGGGGCUCAACCCCGGGUCUGCAGUGGGUACGGGCAGACUAGAGUGCAGUAGGGGAGACUGGAAUUCCUGGUGUAGCGGUGAAAUGCGCAGAUAUCAGGAGGAACACCGAUGGCGAAGGCAGGUCUCUGGGCUGUUACUGACGCUGAGGAGCGAAAGCAUGGGGAGCGAACAGGAUUAGAUACCCUGGUAGUCCAUGCCGUAAACGUUGGGCACUAGGUGUGGGGGACAUUCCACGUUCUCCGCGCCGUAGCUAACGCAUUAAGUGCCCCGCCUGGGGAGUACGGCCGCAAGGCUAAAACUCAAAGGAAUUGACGGGGGCCCGCACAAGCGGCGGAGCAUGCGGAUUAAUUCGAUGCAACGCGAAGAACCUUACCAAGGCUUGACAUCCACCGGACCGCACUGGAGACAGUGCUUCCCUUCGGGGCUGGUGGACAGGUGGUGCAUGGUUGUCGUCAGCUCGUGUCGUGAGAUGUUGGGUUAAGUCCCGCAACGAGCGCAACCCUCGUUCUAUGUUGCCAGCACGUGAUGGUGGGGACUCAUAGGAAACUGCCGGGGUCAACUCGGAAGAAAGGUGGGGAUGACCUCAAAUCAUCCUGCCCCCUUAUGUCUUGGGGUUUCACGCAGGCUACAAUGGGCCCGUACAAAGGGUGUCCA
RNAcentral lists this ribosomal RNA (1013 nucleotides) under Kocuria flava. RNAcentral describes it as "bacterial SSU rRNA". It matches the Rfam family "Bacterial small subunit ribosomal RNA", at positions 233 to 1252 of the family's 1533-position model. The record is from RNAcentral. Lineage: Bacteria; Bacillati; Actinomycetota; Actinomycetes; Micrococcales; Micrococcaceae.